RNAcentral lists this ribosomal RNA (253 nucleotides) under uncultured bacterium. RNAcentral describes it as "partial 16S ribosomal RNA". It matches the Rfam family "Bacterial small subunit ribosomal RNA", at positions 524 to 776 of the family's 1533-position model. The record is from RNAcentral.
UACGGGGGGGGCAAGCGUUGUUCGGAAUUACUGGGCGUAAAGCGCGCGUAGGCGGCUUUGCAAGUCGGGUGUGAAAUCCCCAGGCUUAACCUGGGAACUGCAUUCGAGACUGCAUUGCUAGAGUAUGGGAGAGGGAAGUGGAAUUUCCGGUGUAGCGGUGAAAUGCGUAGAUAUCAGGAGGAACACCAAUAGCGAAGGCAGCUCGCUGGGACGGUACUGACGCUAAGGCGCGAAAGCGUGGGGAGCGAACAGG